RNAcentral lists this small RNA (742 nucleotides) under Malus domestica (apple). RNAcentral's name for it is "sRNA MD07G0218200". The record is from RNAcentral. Lineage: Eukaryota; Viridiplantae; Streptophyta; Magnoliopsida; Rosales; Rosaceae.
CUUGGAUUCGAAAAAAAGCUUCUGCUCCAAAUUUCAGGAGUGAAUUCCCUCACCAAAUUUCAAAAGCCAAUUAGCUCCUGAUCGUUCCAAUUGAACUUCCUUUCCUUCAGUUGUUCCCAUCAACAUCAUCUCCCUGGAACCUACGAGCUUAGUUGGGAUUCCAGUUUUCCGAUGAUGAUCGACGAUCCCGGCAACGCCCGCCAUCGAGGUUGGUCUGAAACGAUUCCUCAUCACCUAUGCACUAUUGACAAUGGAAUCAUAGAAAACUCAACAUGAGCCAUUCCAGCCGCCACUUCAUGUCGAAAGAAGAACGAGCAAGCCACUUUCUUGGAGGAUUUGAAGGAUCACAUUAAUGAUCUUGUCAAUGCAUCUAAGGAUGAACACAAAACUUGCUUCAAGAACACCAUGCAGAAGUUGUUUGGAAUGUCAAAGAUUGUUGUUGAGAGGAGCCAUGACACCACGAAAGUUUAGGGUACUCUUCCCCUUCAAGCCACAGUACAAAAUAGAACAUCUUCUUUUAUGUUUUGUAGGCAGAUACAUCUUGAGAACCAAACUUCGCUUUCUGGCUUUAACCAAUUAGAUUCUGGUGAUGUAUAUUUUUUUUUAAAUAUUGGCACCUGCACUUCCAAUUUCUAUUAUGGUCGUUCUUAGUAUGUAGUAUGUACCACGUCACCGUCAAAUUUGAUGGGUGAGAUCUACCCAAAGAAACUCUAUUGUUUCUUGAAUUAAUAUACAUGGCUAU